Molecule: long non-coding RNA, 1194 nt
Filed under: Homo sapiens (human)
Lineage: Eukaryota; Metazoa; Chordata; Mammalia; Primates; Hominidae
Description: HSALNT0069041
Source: RNAcentral
UUUUUUCAGUGCCAUUAAGAUUUUCCAUAAUUCCUUACGUUUAGCUCCUACAGCACGCCAUAUCAUUUGGGGUUGCGGUACCACUAUACCAUAUGCCCAAAUAAUAGGAACCCUUGCUGUACUUAGUGUCCACCAUCAGAUUAUUUUUUGUUUAGAUGCAGAGUGACCACUACCUGCAGAUUGAGAGGUGGGGCCUCAUAGAUGCCCCUUUAGGGGACCAAUCAAUAACUCCAUAUGAAUCAUUAUGCAACACCUCUGCCUGCGUUAUGAUAUGAUCGUCUGAAAUGCCUUCAUUUUUUCUGACCAUGUCCAAUCCACUUUACAGAUAGGUUUUUGAGGGUGGUAAACCUUGGCUACAGGAGCAUAAUCAUUGUAAUAAAUACUAAGAUUGGAAAGCAUAUGUAAGUGCCGCAGAGAUAUGUUCAGGCACUAUCCCCAGCCAAGAUUGGGAGGUAAACGCCCAUUGGCUUUCCCUAAGCAAAUAGGUAAAUGCUCAAAUCCCAACAAGAUAUUUAUAAUUGUUCCCUCCUCUUGGGGGUGAGACACGCCUCUAUCUGUAGAAAAAGGCAUCCAAAAGCUAUCAUUAGUGUAUACCUCCACUAGGGGCUCUAAGCAUAUUACUGGCCGUAGAAGUGGUAGAAAAGGAAUAUAUGCCCAAUAUAAUUGUUUCAGCAGUUACUGGGGGGGGGGGGGGUGGGGGGAGUACUCAUAGCAAUGGUGAGCACAGCCGUCAUAGCUAUUAUUAGAUUAUUCAUCAUAGCUGGUCAUUCCGCCACCUUCAGAUUUUCUUCUCCCAUCUUUGUCAACUUCUUGAUGUGGCCCCAGACUAUUGAGACAAGCUGUGGAAGGGCCAAUGAGUUUUGCCACCCAUCCCCUACCUCUAAAAUGGGCAAAUCAGUGUCUUCAUGAAGGAAGGAAGCUUAAAGCACUUAAUGAUAAUUCCACAGCCUCAAGCCAGGAAACUCCUCAGCAGCCCAGUUCCAGUGACUGAGUCCACUUUGAAGACACCUUGUUGUGGGCUGCCCAUACUGUGAGGCCUGUACCCAACCAGCCCACUGGCCUUCAGUUCCAUCAGGACUGGAAGCACCUGCACACAGAGCUGAAAAGCAAACCUUUUUUAUGACUGGACGUGAACAUGUGCCGUGAUAGCUAUGUGUUUCCAGGUAAAGUUAUGAGGACUUUUGUUAGUAAUAC